CCUACGGGUGGCUGCAGUGGGGAAUAUUGGACAAUGGGGGCAACCCUGAUCCAGCCAUGCCGCGUGUGUGAAGAAGGCCUUCGGGUUGUAAAGCACUUUCAGUGAGGAAGAAGGCCUGCGGGUCAAUAACCGGCAGGAAGGACAUCACUCACAGAAGAAGCACCGGCUAACUCCGUGCCAGCAGCCGCGGUAAUACGGAGGGUGCGAGCGUUAAUCGGAAUUACUGGGCGUAAAGCGCGCGUAGGUGGCUUGAUAAGCCGGUUGUGAAAGCCCCGGGCUCAACCUGGGAACGGCAUCCGGAACUGUCAGGCUAGAGUGCAGGAGAGGAAGGUAGAAUUCCCGGUGUAGCGGUGAAAUGCGUAGAGAUCGGGAGGAAUACCAGUGGCGAAGGCGGCCUUCUGGACUGACACUGACACUGAGGUGCGAAAGCGUGGGUAGCAAACAGGAUUAGAUACCCGGGUAGUC
RNAcentral lists this ribosomal RNA (465 nucleotides) under uncultured bacterium. RNAcentral describes it as "bacterial SSU rRNA". It matches the Rfam family "Bacterial small subunit ribosomal RNA", at positions 338 to 795 of the family's 1533-position model. The record is from RNAcentral.